UUUCCUUUGUACCUCCAUCCCUUCCUCUCUCUCUUCUUUUUUCCCUUUUUCUCUAACAUCUUUCUCCUUUUCCCUUUCCUUGUUUUCCCCCUUAUCCUUUUUUUUUUUCACCUCUUUCCUCUUUUUCCCAAGGUUUUCCACCGUUAGUUGUUGGAUCUUGCUUAGUACCUCACUACGGGCUGUCCAGAGAUCCUCACUAUGGGCUGUCCAGAGAUCCUCACUAUGGGCUGUCCAGAGAUUCUCACUACGGGCUGUCCAGAGAUCCUCACUAUG
Pelobates cultripes (western spadefoot toad) is the source of this 273-nucleotide non-coding RNA. The record is from the annotation of a GenBank genome assembly. NCBI's taxonomy places the organism in Eukaryota, Metazoa, Chordata, Amphibia, Anura, Pelobatidae.